RNAcentral lists this ribosomal RNA (461 nucleotides) under uncultured bacterium. RNAcentral's name for it is "bacterial SSU rRNA". It matches the Rfam family "Bacterial small subunit ribosomal RNA", at positions 917 to 1382 of the family's 1533-position model. The record is from RNAcentral.
GGGCCCGCACAAGCAGUGGAGUAUGUGGUUUAAUUCGAAGCAACGCGAAGAACCUUACCAGGGCUUGACAUCCCUUGAACGCCGUAGAGAUACGGUUUCCCUUCGGGGCAAGGAGACAGGUGGUGCAUGGUUGUCGUCAGCUCGUGUCGUGAGAUGUUGGGUUAAGUCCCGCAACGAGCGCAACCCCUGUUGUUAGUUGCCAUCAUUAAGUUGGGCACUCUAGCGAGACUGCCGGUGACAAAUCGGAGGAAGGUGGGGACGACGUCAAAUCAUCAUGCCCCUUAUGUCCUGGGCUACACACGUACUACAAUGGCUAUUACAGCAGGAUGCAAUAUCGCAAGAUGGAGCCAAUCCUCAAAAAUAGUCCCAGUUCAGAUUGUGGGCUGAAACUCGCCCACAUGAAGUCGGAAUUGCUAGUAAUUGCAGGUCAGCAUACUGCAGUGAAUACGUUCCCGGGCCUU